This 253-nucleotide long non-coding RNA is filed under the name Solanum tuberosum (potato). RNAcentral's name for it is "long non-coding RNA (STUB_LNC007024)". The record is from RNAcentral. Lineage: Eukaryota; Viridiplantae; Streptophyta; Magnoliopsida; Solanales; Solanaceae.
UCUUUUUUUUAAGUUUGUUUUUUUGUACAAUCUUGUUGUGUUGUUAUGUAGUAAGACUAAACCGUGCUGCGUAUUUUCUUUUCUCUAACCGAAAACAGUGAAUGCAUUCAUCGGCAUUUUCUCGCUUAAUUUUGGUUAACAUCUUGAAGAAUUGGUCCUUUUGGUCAAAUUAGUUAGGAGUAUAUGAAUGUGAUCAUAUGUUAGUAGCUAUGGAUUUUUUGUCUAACAUAUUAUUCAUACACUAUUAGAAGGC